This is a long non-coding RNA of Cydia splendana, 570 nucleotides long. RefSeq lists it as uncharacterized. The record is from RefSeq and is a predicted model, not a curated record. Lineage: Eukaryota; Metazoa; Arthropoda; Insecta; Lepidoptera; Tortricidae. The transcript has 2 exons.
AAGUCGCCUCCACACCUUUCCGUUUCUUUUUCCUCCGUCAGGACUCAGUCCAUACGUUAACCGGAAGUGGACAGCGCUGAAAUGGCCACUCCCUCACCCCCCUCCCGCCCCCUCUUUAAUUAAACCUUCGGAUAAGGUUUUAACACCCCCUUCAAAGGUUUUUUAGAACCCUUUUGAGGGUAAGGUGCUUGGUAACCCUUUGUGAUGCCUUAGUUUUUUGUAGUGCUUUCUGCUUUGAUUUGAGUGUAUGGUGCUGACGUGUGGGAAAACAAAGAAUUGGUCAAUGAUUGUACAUGGACCUAUUUUGACGACCGGUCUGGCCUAGUAGGUAGUGACCCUGCCUGUGAAGCCGAUGGUUCUGGGUUCGAAUCCCAGUAAGGGCAUUUAUUUGUGUCAUGACAUAGAUAUUUGUUCCUGAGUCAUGGUUGUUUUCUAUAUAUUUAAGUAUUUAUAUAUUACAUAUAUCGUUGACUGAGUACCCACAACACAAGCCUUCUUGAGCUUACUGUGGGACUUAGUCAAUCUGUGUAAGAAUGUCCUAUAAUAUUUAUUUAUUUAUUAUUUAUUUAA